CGCAGCAAUCGCGAGCAAAGUGAAAAUGCUCACGAGUUUAAUCACUUCCAUACCGCACCGGGGGUUAGUAUGAAGGUGAGCAAAAUAGGGCCGAUGCCGUCGGGACCGACAAAAUCACCAAAUUUGCUCACUAGAAAGGGGCGAGAGCAAACAUGCACUGAAAAAAUUCUACCGUUUUGAGCAGAAUUAAACAAACGAUGUCGCAGCGUGUAGAUGUUUGUUGAUAUUUAUUUUAAGAAAAAAAUUGUAUCAGCUUAAAAUUGUGGAUGGUUUUUCUUGUAAUAACUGCAGUUAAAUUCGCAAUUUCGUUACAUUUUUUCGGGGUUUUCCAGGAAUUGAACGAGAAAGUGUAAAUGCUGGUUCUGAUGAUAAACAAACUUGAAGCAUCGUAAUUUGUGACCAAAAAUGGUCACUCGGAGUUUCUCGGAGUAAUAAUAAUCGAGACCAGUGCGCUGUGCAGGAUUUUUGUAUCCAACCGGCCGAUAUGGGUGGCAUUCCAGUACUGUCCCUACCGAUUCGGCUUUCGGAACGAGGUCCAAUAAGUUUGCAACUAAUGGGACCCAGUUUUUCGGAGCAGCAAUUAUUUCAAUUAGCACGUUGGAUAGAAAAAGAAGUUGAAGAUUUUUUAGAAAAGUAUGAUUUUAAUAUAAAUAUAAUAAACAAAUAAAGUUGAAUUUUAGUUGAAUUGUUUGGUUUGUUAAAUUUUGUUUUUCGGGUCCAUUUGUUAGGAAAUAUAAGUGCCCGGCGUUUUGAAAGCAAAAUCGAGCUUAAUUCGAAAAUAUAUUCUUAUCUGAACUUAUUUUAUUCAA
This is a long non-coding RNA of Uranotaenia lowii, 809 nucleotides long. RefSeq lists it as uncharacterized. The record is from RefSeq and is a predicted model, not a curated record. The transcript is spliced from 2 exons. NCBI's taxonomy places the organism in Eukaryota, Metazoa, Arthropoda, Insecta, Diptera, Culicidae.